This is a long non-coding RNA of Lagopus muta (rock ptarmigan), 302 nucleotides long. RefSeq lists it as uncharacterized. Lineage: Eukaryota; Metazoa; Chordata; Aves; Galliformes; Phasianidae. The transcript is spliced from 3 exons. The record is from RefSeq and is a predicted model, not a curated record.
CUCAGAAGAACAUCUGGGUUUGAACAGUUUGGAACAACCAGAGGUGCCAGUAAGGGAGGCAGUGGCUGGCAAUGCCUCGAGGUUUCCUGACACCACUUCUCCGGGAUACAGGAAAAAGCCUUGCACAGUGCUGUGAAAAUAAUCAGAAAAGCUCCAUUAAACUGGAAAUGGGAAUCAAUUGUGCUGCUGUAUGAGAGGCCUUACUCACAUGUUUGGAAAGAACCCCAUCUGUGGAUGUGUACUUGACUUUGCAAGCAUCUUACUGAAACCCACAGGAGGACCCAGUCCCUGUAGAUGCAGAG